RNAcentral lists this ribosomal RNA (422 nucleotides) under uncultured bacterium. RNAcentral's name for it is "bacterial SSU rRNA". It matches the Rfam family "Bacterial small subunit ribosomal RNA", at positions 355 to 787 of the family's 1533-position model. The record is from RNAcentral.
UGGGGAAUUUUUGCACAAUGGGGGAAAGACCCUGAUGCAGCGACGCCGCGUGGAGGAAGAAGGCCCUCGGGUUGUAAACUCCUGUCUUUGGGGGACGAUAAUGACGGUACCCAAGGAGGAAGCCACGGCUAACUACGUGCCAGCAGCCGCGGUAAAACGUAGGUGGCAAGCGUUGUCCGGGAAUUACUGGGUGUAAAGGGAGCGCAGGCGGAGCGGCAAGUUGGAGGUGAAACUCAUGGGCUCAACCCAUGAACUGCCUUCAAAACUGUCGGAUCUUGAGUGGUGUAGAGGUAAGCGGAAUUCCCGGUGUAGCGGUGGAAUGCGUAGAUAUCGGGGAGGAACACCAGUGGCGAAGGCGGCUUACUGGGCGGUAACUGACGUUGAGGCUCGAAAGCGUGGGGAGCAAACAGGAUUAGAUACCC